This 249-nucleotide ribosomal RNA is filed under the name uncultured bacterium. Its description in RNAcentral is "partial 16S ribosomal RNA". It matches the Rfam family "Bacterial small subunit ribosomal RNA", at positions 524 to 773 of the family's 1533-position model. The record is from RNAcentral.
UACGGGGGGGCAAGCGUUGUUCGGAAUUACUGGGCGUAAAGGGCGCGUAGGCGGCCUGCUAAGUCGGACGUGAAAUCCCUCGGCUCAACCGGGGAACUGCGUCCGAUACUGGUGGGCUCGAAUCCGGGAGAGGGAUGUGGAAUUCCAGGUGUAGCGGUGAAAUGCGUAGAUAUCUGGAGGAACACCGGUGGCGAAGGCGGCAUCCUGGACCGGUAUUGACGCUGAUGCGCGAAAGCCAGGGGAGCAAAC